Molecule: transfer RNA, 75 nt
Filed under: Alphaproteobacteria bacterium
Lineage: Bacteria; Pseudomonadati; Pseudomonadota; Alphaproteobacteria
Also listed under: 7 other names
Description: tRNA-Met
Rfam family: tRNA
About the family: Transfer RNA (tRNA) molecules are approximately 80 nucleotides in length. Their secondary structure includes four short double-helical elements and three loops (D, anti-codon, and T loops). Further hydrogen bonds mediate the characteristic L-shaped molecular structure. tRNAs have two regions of fundamental functional importance: the anti-codon, which is responsible for specific mRNA codon recognition, and the 3' end, to which the tRNAs corresponding amino acid is attached (by aminoacyl-tRNA synthetases). tRNAs cope with the degeneracy of the genetic code in two manners: having more than one tRNA (with a specific anti-codon) for a particular amino acid; and 'wobble' base-pairing, i.e. permitting non-standard base-pairing at the 3rd anti-codon position.
Source: RNAcentral
GGCUCGGUAGCUCAGCGGUAGAGCAGGGGACUCAUAAGCCCUUGGUCGGGUGUUCAAAUCACCCCCGAGUCACCA